AAGUUCUAAGGGAUCGCCGUCCAUGUUUCUCUUUCUUUUUGAAUAAUUUUGCGGUUGAUGGGGUCAUUUGAGUUUAUGUUAAGGGCCCAUAGCUCAGGCGGUUAGAGUGCACCCCUGAUAAGGGUGAGGUCGGUAGUUCGAAUCUACCUGGGCCCACCAUUCAAUCAGGCAAGGGGCCGUAGCUCAGCUGGGAGAGCGCCUGCUUUGCAAGCAGGAUGUCAGCGGUUCGAUCCCGCUCGGCUCCACCAAUUGCGAAUUUAUAGUUUUUUUGUUCUAGGGAUUUUUUUUUAGAGCAAUAGUUUUUUGAAAAUUGAAUAGAAGGUAGAUUUUUUUGUAUUUUUUAUAUUGGCAUUGUAUGCGAUAUGGGAGGUACCGACGUUGUAUAACCGCACGUUGAAGAUUUAUCUCAGGAAAUUGGUCUAUUGAAAGAGCAUAAUUUAUUUAUGUUUUUUUAAUUAAGAAACGUU
This 467-nucleotide transfer RNA is filed under the name Candidatus Liberibacter solanacearum. RNAcentral describes it as "partial miscellaneous RNA". The stretch from base 83 to 156 matches the Rfam family "tRNA". Lineage: Bacteria; Pseudomonadati; Pseudomonadota; Alphaproteobacteria; Hyphomicrobiales; Rhizobiaceae. The record is from RNAcentral.